RNAcentral lists this ribosomal RNA (455 nucleotides) under uncultured bacterium. RNAcentral describes it as "bacterial SSU rRNA". It matches the Rfam family "Bacterial small subunit ribosomal RNA", at positions 340 to 786 of the family's 1533-position model. The record is from RNAcentral.
UACGGAAGGCAGCAGUGGGGAAUAUUGCACAAUGGGCGCAAGCCUGAUGCAGCCAUGCCGCGUGUAUGAAGAAGGCCUUCGGGUUGUAAAGUACUUUCAGUCGUGAGGAAGGUGUUAAGGUUAAUAACCUUAGCAAUUGACGUUAGCGACAGAAGAAGCACCGGCUAACUCCGUGCCAGCAGCCGCGGUAAUACGGAGGGUGCGAGCGUUAAUCGGAAUUACUGGGCGUUAAAGGGCACGCAGGCGGUUAAUUAAGUUGGAUGUGAAAUCCCCGGGCUUAACCUGGGAAUGGCAUUCAAGACUGGUUAGCUAGAGUCUUGUAGAGGGGGUAGAAUUCCGAUGUGUAGCGGUGAAAUGCGUAGAGAUGUGGAGGAAUACCGGUGGCGAAGGCGGCCCCUGGGACAAAGACUGACGCUCAUGUGCGAAAGCGUGGGGAGCAAACAGGAUUAGAUACC